UACGGAAGGCAGCAGUGGGGAAUAUUGCACAAUGGGCGCAAGCCUGAUGCAGCCAUGCCGCGUGUAUGAAGAAGGCCUUCGGGUUGUAAAGUACUUUCAGUCGUGAGGAAGGUGUUAAGGUUAAUAACCUUAGCAAUUGACGUUAGCGACGGAAGAAGCACCGGCUAACUCCGUGCCAGCAGCCGCGGUAAUACGGAGGGUGCGAGCGUUAAUCGGAAUUACUGGGCGUAAAGGGCACGCAGGCGGUUAAUUAAGUUGGAUGUGAAAUCCCCGGGCUUAACCUGGGAAUGGCAUUCAAGCUGGUUAGCUAGAGUCUUGUAGAGGGGGUAGAAUUCCAUGUGUAGCGGUGAAAUGCGUAGAGAUGUGGAGGAAUACCGGUGGCGAAGGCGGCCCCUGGACAAAGACUGACGCUCAUGUGCGAAAGCGUGGGGAGCAAACAGGGAUUAGAUACC
Molecule: ribosomal RNA, 452 nt
Filed under: uncultured bacterium
Lineage: Bacteria
Description: bacterial SSU rRNA
Rfam family: Bacterial small subunit ribosomal RNA
Source: RNAcentral